Molecule: ribosomal RNA, 469 nt
Filed under: uncultured Gram-positive bacterium
Lineage: Bacteria
Description: bacterial SSU rRNA
Rfam family: Bacterial small subunit ribosomal RNA
Source: RNAcentral
GACGAACGCUGGCGGCGUGCCUAAUACAUGCAACUCGAGCGGGUUUAUCCUUCGGGGUAAGCUAGCGGCGGACGGGUGAGUAACACGUAGGCAACCUGCCUUUAAGACUGGGAUAACUAUCGGAAACGAUAGCUAAGACCGGAUAGCUGGUUUUCUCGCAUGAGAGAAUCAUGAAACACGGAGCGAUCUGUGGCUUGAAGAUGGGCCUGCGGCGCAUUAGCUAGUUGGUGAGGUAACGGCUCACCAAGGCGACGAUGCGUAGCCGACCUGAGAGGGUGAACGGCCACACUGGGACUGAGACACGGCCCAGACUCCUACGGGAGGCAGCAGUAGGGAAUCUUCCGCAAUGGACGCAAGUCUGACGGAGCAACGCCGUGUGAGUGAUGAAGGUUUUCGGAUCGUAAAACUCUGUUGUUAGGGAAGAACAAGUACGAGAGUAACUGCUCGUACCUUGACGGUACCUAACCAG